Molecule: ribosomal RNA, 254 nt
Filed under: uncultured bacterium
Lineage: Bacteria
Description: partial 16S ribosomal RNA
Rfam family: Bacterial small subunit ribosomal RNA
Source: RNAcentral
UACGUAGGGGCCUAGCGUUGUCCGGAUUUAUUGGGCGUAAAGAGCUCGUAGGCGGUUCGGCAAGUCGGAUGUGAAAUCUCCACGCUCAACGUGGAGGGGCCAUUCGAAACUGCCGUGACUCGAGUCCGGUAGGGGAGUGUGGAAUUCCCGGUGUAGCGGUGAAAUGCGCAGAUAUCAGGAGGAACACCGGUGGCGAAGGCGGGUCUCUGGGCCGAUACUGACGCUGAGGAGCGAAAGCGUGGGGAGCGAACAGG